GUGAAUCAUCAAAUCUUUGAACGCAAAUUGCACUCUCUUCGGAGAGUAUGCCUGUUUGAGGGUCAGCCUAAAAAAAAAAAUCGACAUAGUCGCUGUUUCGCGGUGACAUUCGUCGGAAAUUGUUUCAUCUUAUACCUUUGGGUUUUAAUUGUCUUAAAAUUUUCUUUACGAUUCCCCGAACUUUUCUAAUAUUUACUUCUUAUACGUUUAAGGUAACGAUCUUUAUUAGACCUGGCCGUUGAAACAGAUCUCG
Molecule: unclassified non-coding RNA, 253 nt
Filed under: Glomus sp.
Lineage: Eukaryota; Fungi; Glomeromycota; Glomeromycetes; Glomerales; Glomeraceae
Description: partial contains 5.8S ribosomal RNA and internal transcribed spacer 2
Rfam family: 5.8S ribosomal RNA (bases 1-65)
Source: RNAcentral